Molecule: transfer RNA, 65 nt
Filed under: Mytilisepta keenae
Lineage: Eukaryota; Metazoa; Mollusca; Bivalvia; Mytilida; Mytilidae
Description: tRNA-Val
Source: RNAcentral
AAUAUGAUAGUAUAAAUUAUUACAUCUUGUUUACACCAAGAAAAUCGUGUGAUCACGUCUUAUUU